UACGGAGGGUGCAAGCGUUGUCCGGAAUCACUGGGCGUAAAGGGCGCGUAGGCGGCUCAUGAAGGCUGUGGUGAAAGUCCGGGGCUCAACCUCGGAUCGGCCGUGGCGACUCGUGGGCUGGAGCACUGUAGAGGCGGGUGGAAUUCCGGGUGUAGCGGUGGAAUGCGUAGAGAUCCGGAAGAACACCAGUGGCGAAGGCGGCCCGCUGGGCAGUGGCUGACGCUGAGACACGAAAGCGUGGGUAGCAAACAGG
RNAcentral lists this ribosomal RNA (253 nucleotides) under uncultured bacterium. RNAcentral's name for it is "partial 16S ribosomal RNA". It matches the Rfam family "Bacterial small subunit ribosomal RNA", at positions 524 to 776 of the family's 1533-position model. The record is from RNAcentral.